GGAUCGCCAGCGGCCGGUCCGCCGUCAAGGUGUGUACUGGCCGCUGCAUCCUCCUUAUGGGACACUCACCGCUGCCCUUAACUGAGUGGCGGUAAAAGCCCGCGUGUACGGGUGGCGACACCGGUGCACGCGGGUGGAGUUCCCAUUCAUUUACUUUGAAUAAAAGCACGUGUUCAAAGAAGACAUAAAGGGGUCUUGAAGACGCUAGCAUGGGAUAAUAGAACAGGACUUGUGUUCCUUUGUUUUGUUGGUUUCUGGGACAUGAGUA
Molecule: ribosomal RNA, 268 nt
Filed under: uncultured fungus
Lineage: Eukaryota; Fungi
Description: partial small subunit ribosomal RNA
Source: RNAcentral